UCAGAACCAGCUCUGGGCUCCUAGUGCGCUCUGGGUCUCCAUCUGGUUUGGGGGCUAUUUUGAUUCACCGGAUGCAGAGCAGCCACUGAGAUCUGGGACUGGGCGGCUAGAGCGGCGGCGCCUUUAUCUACAGAAGGACAAUUUAGAAACUAACGCCAAGCCCAGAGAACAAAUAAAUAAAUUCCUCUUUCUGUUCACAGCGCUCUCUCUGCCCGUUUCUACAGGAGAAGUUCUGCUCUGUCUCACACUGCUGGUUGAGAAGUGGCUCUCGGCUACCCAAGGUGCAGACCAGAUGGGAGGGACUGGGGUAGGAAGGAGGAGAGUGGAUGCCUUGUUUUCCUUCUUUCUUU
RNAcentral lists this long non-coding RNA (350 nucleotides) under Mus pahari (shrew mouse). RNAcentral's name for it is "predicted gene 28215 (MGP_PahariEiJ_G0004252.1)". Lineage: Eukaryota; Metazoa; Chordata; Mammalia; Rodentia; Muridae. The record is from RNAcentral.